AAAUUCUAAUGACCUGAUUUACAAGCCUCUUGGCAGAAAAAUCUCACGAAUGGGACUGCUCUUAUUUACACCUUAGUGACAUUUUCAUACAGUGAGAUCCGGUUCUCACCUCCUUGGCAUCAUCAGGCUCUCCAUCGUUGAGUGCUGAGUAGAGGAUCAGGUACUCAGUGGCCCCCGGUGCUGCAGCCCAGCUCACUCGCAGUUUGCUAUAAGAGGAAGGCAUCACCUCCAGAGGACUCCGCCAGUAACCUGAAGCAUAAGGAAGUGCUGCAUCCUGUUUUGUCAAAGGUGGAAGUUGGCUUUGCAUAAACCUGAGUGACCACUGGAUUUGUCUACCUGAGG
Long non-coding RNA from Syngnathoides biaculeatus (alligator pipefish), 342 nucleotides. RefSeq lists it as uncharacterized. The record is from RefSeq and is a predicted model, not a curated record. NCBI's taxonomy places the organism in Eukaryota, Metazoa, Chordata, Actinopteri, Syngnathiformes, Syngnathidae. The transcript has 3 exons.